Molecule: ribosomal RNA, 2714 nt
Filed under: groundwater metagenome
Description: bacterial LSU rRNA
Rfam family: Bacterial large subunit ribosomal RNA
Source: RNAcentral
CUCAGACAGCCAGGAGGUUGGCUUAGAAGCAGCCAUCCUUUAAAGAAAGCGUAACAGCUCACUGGUCGAGUGAAUCUGCGCCGAAAAUGUAUCGGGGCUAAAGCUAUUUACCGAAGCUGCGGAUGCGCCAGUCCUCGACUGUCGUCUUCGGACUGGCAAGUGCGUAAGUGCGUGAGUGCGUAAGUGCGUAAGUCUUUCUGACUUAGACACUUAGACACUUAGGCACUUAGGCACUUGCCAAUCCGAGGUUUCAGCCGAGGAUUGGCGCGUGGUAGAGGAGCAUUCCGUAUGCCUGCGAAGGUCGACCGAAAGGACGGCUGGAGGUAUCGGAAGGGAUUCUGCUGACAUGAGUAGCGUAAAAACAAGCGAGAAACUUGUUCGCCGUAAGUCUAAGGUUUCCUGGGGAAGGGUAAUCCGCCCAGGGUUAGUCGGGUCCUAAGCCGAGGCACUAUGCGUAGGUGAUGGACAACAGGUUAAUAUCCCUGUACCGCUAAUAGCGCGUUAAAACCCAAGGAGGGACGCUAUCCGAGCCGAACGAGCCCACUAUCGGAUGUGGGUGUAAAUAUGUAGGGUGUGCGUGUGGCAAAUCCCGCGCACUUGUUUUAAUACUGAACCCGAGAUAUGAUGCCGAAGUCCCCGCAAGGGGGCGCAAAGUCGUUGAUGCUUAUAGCCUAGAAAAUCUUCGUGGGGAGUGCUGUUAGUGCCCGUACCGCAAACCGACACUGGUAGACGGGUAGAAGAUACCAAGGCGCUUGAGAGAACCCUAGUUAAGGAACUCUGCAAAUUAGCACCGUAACUUCGGGAGAAGGUGCGUCUUAGAACGUGAAGGGACUUGCUCCUGGAGCGUUCCAAGAUCGCAGUGAAAUGGUGGCUGCGACUGUUUAACAAAAACACAGGACUCUGCAAAGUCGAAAGAUGACGUAUAGGGUCUGACACCUGCCCGGUGCUGGAAGGUUAAAGUGAGAUGUCAGCCGCAAGGCAAAGCAUUGAUCUGAAGCCCCAGUAAACGGCGGCCGUAACUAUAACGGUUAACAUAUUGAUAUUAUUGAGAAAAUAAUAUCGAGCUACCAAUCAAUGGCCGUUAUAAAAUUUGGCUAUAUGCUGGAACAACUGAAGUAUCCCAAGAUACCGAGGAGGUGAUAAAUCUAUGGGUGCAGUUAAUCAGCAGGAAAGAUUGUCUGAAACCGAAACAAAAAAAUGGUUUCUAGCGGGUUUCAUAGAAGGAGAAGGAAGUCUGUGUGUUUCCAUGAAGGAACAUCCAACCGCAAAGUUUGGUUAUUAUGUUGAUCCGGAGUUUUUUCUGUAUCAGCAUAAAAGCGGGAUCGAGAUCUUGGAUCUUGCAAAGGAAAUUUUCGGAAGCGGGCGGAUUGUUCCAAAAUGUGGGAACGAAGAUGUUCUAGUUUUUUCGAUAACUUCUCGAAGGACUUUAAUUGAAAAAAUAAUUCCUUUCUAUGAAAAGUACAUGGUCUAUUCUUAUAAAAAAAGUAUCUUCAAUAUUUUUAAAGAUAUUGUUGAGGCCAUGGAUCGCAAAGAACAUUGGACCCCUGAAGGCAUGGCACAUAUUGUCAGAAAGGCAUAUAUGAUGAAUCCAGCCAGCAAGGGAAAAGAGAGAAAAAGAACUCUCGAUGAGGUUUUGGACAGGAUCCUCAGAGACUACAAGCCAGAUUCUGAUAAGAUAUCAGAAAAGAUAUAGUCCGAUCUGUAUGGCAACAUACAGCUAACACAAAUGCCUAAGGUAGCGAAAUUCCUUGUCGGGUAAACCAAAUGGAACUUGCCCGAAUGGUGUGGUAACAUGCCAUAAGCAAAACAGCUAUAUCGGUGAAGCCUACAGAGCGAUGGUUAAAGGAAACCAUCAGUGCAAACUCUACGGUAAUACCGAGGGAAGUCCGCCUACGGCGGACCCCGUAACGACUACACGCUGUCUCCGCAAUGUGCGGAUGAAAAUAUAGUCUGAUCCUUGGAGAAAUCCAAGCAGAUGUAAAUUGAAGUUCCGACCUGCACGAAUGGUGUAACGAUAGCCACACUGUCUCAACUGGGGGCUCAGCGAAAUUGUACUGGCAGCGCAGAUGCUGCCUAACUGCGGAAAGACGGAAAGACCCUGUGCACCUUUACUGCAACUUGACAGUGUAAUUCGGGGCUGUUUGCGUAGGAUAGGUGGGAGGCUUUGAAACCUGGAUUCUGGUUCGGGUGGAGCCAACCUUGAAAUACCACCCUGAUAAUUCUGGAUUACUAACUUAGCUGCUUAUAUCAGCGGCGAGGACACUGUCUGGUGGGUAGUUUGACUGGGGCGGUUGCUUCCAAAAGAGUAACGGAAGCGCGCGAUGGUUCCCUCAGGCCGAUUGGAAACCGGCCGUUGAGUGUAAGAGCAGAAGGGAGCUUAACUGCAAGACUUACAAGUCAAGCAGAUACGAAAGUAGGUUCUAGUGAUCCGGUGGUCCCGUAUGGAAGGGCCAUCGCUCAUCGGACAAAAGGUACGCCGGGGAUAACAGGCUGAUCGCAUCCAAGAGUUCAUAUCGACGAUGCGGUUUGGCACCUCGAUGUCGGCUCAUCACAUCCUGGGGCUGUAGCAGGUCCCAAGGGUUUGGCUGUUCGCCAAUUAAAGUGGUACGCGAGCUGGGUUCAGACCGUCGUGAGACAGGUCGGUCCCUAUCUUCCGUGGUCGUUAGAGAUUUGAGGGGAUCUGUUCAUAGUACGAGAGGACCUGAAUGGACAUA